UUUCAAAAAUGAUCCUCACUUUGUGAUUGCACAAAAAAAUACUGUUUCCAACGCUUUCCUCAGCUUCCGGUGUUAUGGUGGACAAACAAAAAAAUCCUCUGCCACUCCACAGUCUGGACGGAGCAGAAAAGAAACCCGCCAGCUCGUAAGAACCGGUCCACCAGAAUUAUGAGGUUUUGCUCCUUUAGCCUCUGCUCCCAUGAUUUCAUCCCAGGGAAUCUAAAGUGUCAUUUCCUCUCUGGAAGAAAGGAAGCACAAAACAUGCUAGGUAUGUACUCUAAAUUUUCACUCAGCAUCAUAGCUAGCUAUAAAUUUCUU
Molecule: long non-coding RNA, 318 nt
Filed under: Dasypus novemcinctus (nine-banded armadillo)
Lineage: Eukaryota; Metazoa; Chordata; Mammalia; Cingulata; Dasypodidae
Description: lncRNA (ENSDNOG00000052215.1)
Source: RNAcentral